RNAcentral lists this ribosomal RNA (253 nucleotides) under uncultured bacterium. Its description in RNAcentral is "partial 16S ribosomal RNA". It matches the Rfam family "Bacterial small subunit ribosomal RNA", at positions 524 to 776 of the family's 1533-position model. The record is from RNAcentral.
UACAGAGGGGGCAAGCGUUAUUCGGAAUUAUUGGGCGUAAAGAGCUCGUAGGCGGUCUGUCGCGUCCGUUGUGAAAACUCGAGGCUCAACCUCGGGCUUGCAGUGGAUACGGGCAGACUAGAGUGCGGUAGGGGAGACUGGAAUUCCUGGUGUAGCGGUGGAAUGCGCAGAUAUCAGGAGGAACACCGAUGGCGAAGGCAGGUCUCUGGGCCGCAACUGACGCUGAGGAGCGAAAGCGUGGGGAGCGAACAGG